ACUCUGGCGGCGUGCUUAACACAUGCAAGUCGAACGGAAAGGCCCUGCUUUUGUGGGGUGCUCGAGUGGCGAACGGGUGAGUAACACGUGAGUAACCUGCCCUUGACUUUGGGAUAACUUCAGGAAACUGGGGCUAAUACCGGAUAGGAGCUCCUGCUGCAUGGUGGGGGUUGGAAAGUUUCGGCGGUUGGGGAUGGACUCGCGGCUUAUCAGCUUGUUGGUGGGGUAGUGGCUUACCAAGGCUUUGACGGGUAGCCGGCCUGAGAGGGUGACCGGCCACAUUGGGACUGAGAUACGGCCCAGACUCCUACGGGAGGCAGCAGUGGGGAAUAUUGCACAAUGGGCGGAAGCCUGAUGCAGCAACGCCGCGUGCGGGAUGACGGCCUUCGGGUUGUAAACCGCUUUCGCCUGUGACGAAGCGUGAGUGACGGUAAUGGGUAAAGAAGCACCGGCUAACUACGUGCCAGCAGCCGCGGUGAUACGUAGGGCGCGAGCGUUGUCCGGAUUUAUUGGGCGUAAAGGGCUCGUAGGUGGUUGAUCGCGUCGGAAGUGUAAUCUUGGGGCUUAACCCUGAGCGUGCUUUCGAUACGGGUUGACUUGAGGAAGGUAGGGGAGAAUGGAAUUCCUGGUGGAGCGGUGGAAUGCGCAGAUAUCAGGAGGAACACCAGUGGCGAAGGCGGUUCUCUGGGCCUUUCCUGACGCUGAGGAGCGAAAGCGUGGGGAGCGAACAGGCUUAGAUACCCUGGUAGUCCACGCUGUAAACGGUGGGUACUAGGUGUGGGGUCCAUUCCACGGGUUCCGUGCCGUAGCUAACGCUUUAAGUACCCCGCCCUGGGGAGUACGGCCGCAAGGCUAAAACUCAAAGGAAUUGACGGGGCCCCGCACAAGCGGCGGAGCAUGCGGAUUAAUUCGAUGCAACGCGUAGAACCUUACCUGGGUUUGACAUGGAUCGGGAGUGCUCAGAGAUGGGUGUGCCUCUUUUGGGGUCGGUUCACAGGUGGUGCAUGGCUGUCGUCAGCUCGUGUCGUGAGAUGUUGGGUUAAGUCCCGCAACGAGCGCAACCCUUGUUCACUGUUGCCAGCACGUUAUGGUGGGGACUCAGUGGAGACCGCCGGGGUCAACUCGGAGGAAGGUGGGGAUGACGUCAAGUCAUCAUGCCCCUUAUGUCCAGGGCUUCACGCAUGCUACAAUGGCUGGUACAGAGAGUGGCGAGCCUGUGAGGGUGAGCGAAUCUCGGAAAGCCGGUCUCAGUUCGGAUUGGGGUCUGCAGCUCGACCUCAUGAAGUCGGAGUCGCUAGUAAUCGCAGAUCAGCAACGCUGCGGUGAAUACGUUCCCGGGGCUUGUACACACCGCCCGUCAAGUCAUGAAAGUUGGUAACACCCGAAGCCGGUGGCCUAACCGAUGUGGGGGAGCCGUCGAAGGUGGGACUGGUG
This 1434-nucleotide ribosomal RNA is filed under the name uncultured organism. Its description in RNAcentral is "partial small subunit ribosomal RNA". It matches the Rfam family "Bacterial small subunit ribosomal RNA". The record is from RNAcentral.